UUGUUAUCUUGUUGAUGUUUGUGAUAUUUGUGUAGGCGUGCAGGGUGGGGUGAAGCUGUUUAUGAUUUGAUGGAGCUAAUUUUUGCAGACUAACUAUUGCUUUGUUUUGCUUUCAAAGAGCUCUGGUCUUUGGAGUUCGGCCAAACAGAAAACAAAACUAAAGCUCAGUCCUUUACUUUUCUGAGAGACACAAAAGCUUGAGCCUUCUUCUAGCUUCUUCCAAUAUCCUAUCCAAACUAUUGGGUUGUCACUCUCUUGCAUGUUUGCUUUUUCUUCUGCAGCUUGGUGUGGGUUUGCAGUUUGAGUCUGAUCUUAGGGUUUUGGAACCUACUCUUUCGGUUGAGGUUUCCGUUUAUCUGUUUGUUUUUUCCUGUGCUUAGAGUUUUUGUGUGGUUGAUCUGCCUGGUACAUGGAAUGUUAGGUUUUCCUUACAAAGUCGAUCUUCAUGCAUCGGCUAAAGAAACGAUUGGAAUACUACUGAAAAUUUCAUGAUAUCCUUCUUUUCUCUAAGUAUGUAGCGGGGUUUCGAUCAGUUCUGAUGUGCCAGGAAGAGGAAGAGGUAUCUGGAAGAUUUUUCCUUUUCUUUACACUAGUCUAUCAUCUGUAAAAUUUGACCGUUCCUAAAUAUUGGCUUAAACUCUUAAACCUUAUAUGCAAAAAUUCUUGGUUUAAAGUUUCAAGCUUCAAAGGAUUUUGAUUAUUAUUUAAAGCUUAGUAUCCAGAUUGUUCUCAGUCGAUCAACUGUCAAAUUAUUCAAGGCUGUUCUACAUGUAUAGAUUGGCUUUAAUAGUAUGUAUGCUCCAACAUUAUAAUUUUUCUUGAAGCACUUUCUACUGAUCUGGCUUUCACAAGUCCAUGAAUUUGAUUUUUCACUUGUCAGAUUUCUAUUCAGAUUUGGAGUUUCCAUGAUCACCAACUUUGCAACCCAUAUGUUUGCCCAGUUAUUUGGUCUAUACAAUAUGAUUUAACUCCUUUGAUCUACAAGCUUAGGUUCUAUAUAUGGAAGGUUACAUAUUGUUGAUGUUGGGGUAGUAGAUAAAUUUCGUAUCAGCCUGUCAUCCCUGGUGUACCUUUAAUCCAUGGAGCGAGAUCCCUAUCUUGCAUGUGAUAUUGUGUUCAUUAGUAUCAUGUGGCAGAUUUUGGUUACUAGCUACGAGAACAUAUAUUAGUAAUUGUUGUUGAUUUGUGAUUCUAGUGCUGUAGGUCCUAGCUAUGUCAUAUUUGAUCUUAACCAACAAAGUAAAAUUGGCUCAGUCUGAUACUUUUUCUUGGUGAAUGGUGAUGCUCUUCGAAGUCUGUUUUUGUGCCUGAAUAGGUGAAUUUGUAUGAUGAAGUUUUGGAACAUUGAUACGUUUAUAUCAUUUGCCCUUAUUUUCUUUUCUUUUUGUCUUACAUUUUUUAGGCAUUGACAUGAAAUGUGCGGAACUUGUAUGUCAAUUUUCUUCAUAAUUGUAUUGUGAUUAGUGGAAAACAUGUUAAUCCGGCUUUUAGCAGUUACUGUAUGUGUAUAUAUGACUAUGAGCUGAGCUAUUGGUGGUUUGGAUGACAGAGAGAGAGAGUACACUUGUCAGCAUCCAUGAAAACCCCUCUCUUUGUCAUCGUACUGCUCUUGUCCAGGUCUAUCCUCGAUGCUAUGUUUCAUGUAUUUGCAUCUUUGGGAUGUAAACUAGCUGAUAAGCUUAUAACAUUGUGUAAUUUGUCAUUUAUCUUUGUCAAUCAUAUUAUUUAUUCCAGAAUGGUUUCCAUUAGCCUUUUUGUUGGUUGAUGUCUUGUUAUGAUAUGGAGAUUACAUGUUGAUGAAGUAGAGUGGUCAUUGUUCAUGGUUCAAUCUCUUAGUACAUCAACAUGGAUGCAUUAUCUUGUUAAUUACAUUCAGUUGCAUGUUUGGAAAACUAAAUAUUUUGGCUUAGUGUUCAGCAAUUCAAUUUUACAUAAUUAAAUUUUUUGACCUCAAUAAAAUUUUGACUAAAGUAAUUUCAAUAAAAAUUUCUAUGUACUUUUAAUCUUCUUUUUUUUUUUUUCUUUUCUUUUGUAAGAACUAUGUCAAUAGGACUGGAACAUGAGGUGUGGCAGUGAUAUAAGAUGAUUAGAUUAGGUAGAGAUCAACAUUCAGGUAUGAGUAGUAGGGAUGCAAAACAUUCAACAGUCGGCUUUGUUUCACUUGAAGUAUGGAAUUGAUAUUUCACUGCUGACCACAAAACCAAACGUUAGAGUUCAUUUGAGCUAAACAACUGGUAUGCGAUAUUAUACAUGAGAAUUUAUUUGCUUGCCAAGUUUUUCAAAACUAUUGUGUUGGAUAUAGUUAAAUUAUUACAUAUGUACAAGUAAUAAACAGACAGAGGACUGUAUGGAAACAGCAACAGCAUGAUUGCUAAUAUGAUUACAAACAAUGAUAGUCAUGAGCUUGAGGAACAUCAAAGGGAAGUGGUGAAUUGGAGGUUGCAUGUUGAUGUUGUGACUCGAGACUUUCUUGCCUGUGAUACUGUGUUAAUUUCAUGUGGUGGUUUUGGUGACUUUUUUCCGGCAGCAGGUGGGUUUUGAGGACCAGUUGGUAGUACAUUAUAUGUAGUUGUACAUUUAUGAUCAUGGUUGAUGUGUGAUGUACUGUUGGUCUUUUUUUUUUUUUUUGUCAUUUUACUAUUGGUCAUAACUAUGUUUAUCUGAUUAUAUCAACCAAGUACGGUAUUUCCAUCUUUUCCUUCUUUUGCUUUUGCUUUCUGUUUUUGGCUGUUUGUUUCUUUUCUUUUGAUUUCUCUAGUCUUCUUUUGCUUGCUUUGCAGACUUUGUCUGUAUUGGGCUGUGUCCCAUGAACUGCUGUGUCCAAUCAACUGUUGUUUGGUCCAGUCUGGGGGUUUCUCUAGGUAUGCACUGCUGUAGUCAUUUUCUUUUGCCUAAAUCUAGGUCAAUUAAGUGGUGAUGAUUGCAGUUUUCGUAUUUUAUAUCAUUUGCUUUCUCCCAAAUUUGUUUAGCUUUGACAUGACAAGUGUGGAAUUUGCCAGCAAACAUUUUAUCUCGAUUGUUGAAAACAUUCUAAUCUGGGUCUUUGCCAUUACUGAGGCAAGCUAUGAUUGGAUUUGUUUGACGAUGAGAGAGAGCACGCUUGUCAGCAUCCAUGAAACAGUCAGGAGUGUUUACGAGCGUGCUCCCUCUCAUCGUCAUACAAUCGAUCUAAUCUUGUGCACCGGCCUUUCGCAUACAAACUAGUUGGUGAUCAUAAAUUGUGCUAGUUAGUAUUUAUGUGUCAAUCUCAAUGUUCUUUUCGUAAAGGCUCAUCAUUUGCCUUUUCAUGGUCGAUAUCAUUUUUCUGAUAUAAAAUUUAAAUGUUGAAGAAUUAGAGAACAGUCAUUGGUUAGAGUUGAUCUCUGAGUAGAUCAAUCCACAUGGAUGAAGUUCUUUAGGAAAAUCAAAAUAUUUUGCCUCAAUAUAAACAUUCAGUCAUUACUUUUUACAUAACUAAUUGUCUGAACUCAUCAAACCUUUGCCUAAUCUAUUAUCACUUGAAAAAUCAAAAGUUUCUUAACAUUUCUAUGUAAUCAUUUUUAAGGAAUAAGAACAAAUGACUGGCAAAGGCGAGGUGUGGUGGAGAUUAAGUUGAUGAACAGUCUGCAAGAUUGUAAAAGGCUACCUUAAGGCACGCUUUCUGCCUAGGCAUAGGCUAAAUGCAGCGAUGGCUCUGGUAAAAGCAAGCAGGCACAAAAAUUGCACAGGAGGAGGGAAAAGCUUAAGCCUCAGUAAAUCUGCUGUAGUUCAGUUGAUGUAGAACUCAGGCUCCUUGCAAUUAUGCAAGUCUGAUGUAGUUCAGUAGAGCUUAGUUGAUAAGUCCUCAGGUUUUGGAUUUCUUCAGUGUUCAUGGGAUCUAAAUGGAAAUGUUCCCUAUAAAAUAUUUGUUGGAAGCUGCUGUUCAAGCAAUGCAUGGUUGUGAAUUCUAAUCCCAACUGAAACCCAGGCUUAAAGGUCUUUUGUGCAUGCUGGAUGAUUGUCUAAACGGCGGGAGUUUAACAACAGUAGGAAUGUGACAGACGAAGACAAAUAUGCCCGGUACAAAUAUAUAACGGACGUUCCAAGUUAAAGGAUAUCAGGCGUGCUGGAGACUAUUUCAGCCUUUCAAGUUUAUUUGCAUCUUUUCGUAUGUGGCGGUGGGACAGGUUUCCUUUCCAAUCUUGGAUGACAAUCUUGUGAUGGAGCACUGUGACCGUUGGAUGCCCUAAACGUCCUUAAGACCAUACCUAGUGCAUCCUGUUGUAGGUUAUGGCAUGUAAACAUCUCUAUAUUCGGGAAUCUUGAGUUUUGUUUUCCAAUACCAAGUGCCCCAAAAUCUGUAACCUGAACUAAAAAGGGAGAAUUCCAUAUCUCCAACCCUUCAAUGCAGAAUAUGAAAAUCCUGAAAUUCAAAAAUCCUAA
This is an RNA transcript of Rosa chinensis, 4401 nucleotides long. RefSeq lists it as uncharacterized. Lineage: Eukaryota; Viridiplantae; Streptophyta; Magnoliopsida; Rosales; Rosaceae. The record is from RefSeq and is a predicted model, not a curated record. The transcript has 5 exons.